AGUGAACGCUGGCGGUAGGCCUAACACAUGCAAGUCGAACGGCAGCACAGUAAGAGCUUGCUCUUACGGGUGGCGAGUGGCGGACGGGUGAGGAAUACAUCGGAAUCUACUUUUUCGUGGGGGAUAACGUAGGGAAACUUACGCUAAUACCGCAUACGACCUACGGGUGAAAGUAGGGGAUCUUCGGACCUUGCGCGAUUGAAUGAGCCGAUGUCGGAUUAGCUAGUUGGCGGGGUAAGGGCCCACCAAGGCGACGAUCGGUAGCUGGUCUGAGAGGAUGAUCGGCCACACUGGAAGUGAGACACGGUCCAGACUCCUACGGGAGGAAGCAGUGGGGAAUAUUGGAGGAUGGGCGAAAGCCUGAUCCAGCCAUACCGCGUGGGUGAAGAAGGCCUUAGGGUUGUAAAGCCCUUUUGUUGGGAAAGAAAAGCAGCAGGUUAAUACCCCGCUGUUCUGACGGUACCCAAAGAAUAAGCACCGGCUAACUUCGUG
This 492-nucleotide ribosomal RNA is filed under the name uncultured bacterium. Its description in RNAcentral is "partial 16S ribosomal RNA". It matches the Rfam family "Bacterial small subunit ribosomal RNA", at positions 29 to 507 of the family's 1533-position model. The record is from RNAcentral.